ACUCCUGUAGCUCAGCUGGAUAGAGCACGCGUCUACGAAGCGCGGUGUCGAGAGUUCGAAUCUCUCCAGGAGUGC
RNAcentral lists this transfer RNA (75 nucleotides) under uncultured Clostridium sp. RNAcentral describes it as "tRNA-Arg(acg)". It matches the Rfam family "tRNA". Rfam says of the family: Transfer RNA (tRNA) molecules are approximately 80 nucleotides in length. Their secondary structure includes four short double-helical elements and three loops (D, anti-codon, and T loops). The record is from RNAcentral. Lineage: Bacteria; Bacillati; Bacillota; Clostridia; Eubacteriales; Clostridiaceae. RNAcentral also lists the same sequence under 1 other name.